GUCCUCGGUUAAGCCGGUUCUAUAUCCUCCUAGUCCGCUGCCAUCAUUUAAAACGUCAUUUACGGCCCAAAAACCAUCUCCAUCACCUAAAGGACUGACACCACCUAAAUCAACCACACCGUCUCCGAAACCCUCUUCAUCGUCUUCUAAGCCAUGUCCAUCCCUUAAGCCAACUCUAUCGGAACUAGGGAAAGGAAAGUACAAACCAGUCUAUCCAAAGGAUGCGUUACCGAUUUACAUGAUUCCGAAGGAUAUCGAGGAUUUAAUCAAGAGAGACAUUGUGCCUGAAGUUUUGGGAUUGACAUCACCUAAACCAACCACACCGUCUCCGAAACCCUCUUCAUCGUCUUCUAAGCCAUGUCCAUCCCUUAAGCCAACUCUAUCGGAACUAGGGAAAGGAAAGUACAAACCAGUCUAUCCAAAGGAUGCGUUACCGAUUUACAUGAUUCCGAAGGAUAUCGAGGAUUUAAUCAAGAGAGACAUUGUGCCUGAAGUUUUGGGAUUGACAUCACCUAAACCAACCACACCGUCUCCGAAACCCUCUUCAUCGUCUUUUAAGCCAAGUCCAUCCCUUAAGCCAACUCUAUCGGAACUAGGGAAAGGAAAGUACAAAACACUCAAUCCAGAGGAUACAUUACCGAUUAAGCCGGUUCUAUAUCCUCCUAGUCCGCUGCCAUCAUUUAAAACGUCAUUCACGGCCCAAAAACCAUCUCCAUCACCUAAAGGACUGACACCACCUAAAUCAACCACACCGUCUCCGAAACCCUCUUCAUCGUCUUCUAAGCCAUGUCCAUCCCUUAAGCCAACUCUAUCGGAACUAGGGAAAGGAAAGUACAAAGCAGUCUAUCCAAAGGAUGCGUUACCGAUUUACAUGAUUCCGAAGGAUAUCGAGGAUUU
This 897-nucleotide long non-coding RNA is filed under the name Gossypium barbadense (sea-island cotton). RNAcentral's name for it is "long non-coding RNA (GBAR_LNC013113)". Lineage: Eukaryota; Viridiplantae; Streptophyta; Magnoliopsida; Malvales; Malvaceae. The record is from RNAcentral.